This is a regulatory RNA element of Lottia gigantea (owl limpet), 114 nucleotides long. It matches the Rfam family "Potassium channel RNA editing signal". Rfam says of the family: This family represents a group of sequences related to the human potassium channel Kv1.1 hairpin element which directs the efficient modification of an adenosine to inosine by an adenosine deaminase acting on RNA (ADAR). The ADAR modification causes an isoleucine/valine recoding event which lies in the ion-conducting pore of the potassium channel. NCBI's taxonomy places the organism in Eukaryota, Metazoa, Mollusca, Gastropoda, Lottiidae. The record is from Rfam.
GUAGGGUAUGGAGACAUUCAUCCUACGACGGUUUUAGGAAAAAUAGUCGGUAGUGUGUGUUGUAUUUGUGGAGUAUUAGUUAUUGCUCUGCCGAUUCCUAUCAUAGUGAAUAAU